Molecule: transfer RNA, 72 nt
Filed under: Portunus trituberculatus (swimming crab)
Lineage: Eukaryota; Metazoa; Arthropoda; Malacostraca; Decapoda; Portunidae
Description: tRNA-Glu
Rfam family: tRNA
About the family: Transfer RNA (tRNA) molecules are approximately 80 nucleotides in length. Their secondary structure includes four short double-helical elements and three loops (D, anti-codon, and T loops).
Source: Rfam by way of RNAcentral
CACCGUGUAGUGUAGUGGUUAGCAAGCUCGACUCUCAAUCGAGAGGGCCGGGUUCGAGCCCCGGGGCGGCGA